UGAUUUUCUUUUAAUUGCUCCUAUUUUAUUUAAUUCAUAGAAAUUUUAUUUUUAAUUCAAAAAAUAUGGGACUUUCACCAAAAAUCUUUAAAUAUUUUCCUCUUCCAGAUUUUGAAUUAAAAUUAUUUUUUGGAUCAGUUUUGAUAUUUUUCAUGAAUUAAAUGUUUUUGUGCAUAUUUUUAUUGUUUAAAAAUACUUCUAACUUUUCAAAAAUAGUGAAAUUUUUUGUCUAAGGUCCUUUGAAC
Molecule: long non-coding RNA, 245 nt
Filed under: Lathyrus oleraceus (garden pea)
Lineage: Eukaryota; Viridiplantae; Streptophyta; Magnoliopsida; Fabales; Fabaceae
Description: Pisum sativum (pea) long non-coding RNA (PSAT_LNC008654)
Source: RNAcentral